GAGUUUGAUCGUGGCUCAGAUUGAACGCUGGCGGCAGGCCUAACACAUGCAAGUCGAGCGGUAGAGAGAAGCUUGCUUCUCUUGAGAGCGGCGGACGGGUGAGUAAUGCCUAGGAAUCUGCCUGGUAGUGGGGGAUAACGCUCGGAAACGGACGCUAAUACCGCAUACGUCCUACGGGAGAAAGCAGGGGACCUUCGGGCCUUGCGCUAUCAGAUGAGCCUAGGUCGGAUUAGCUAGUUGGUGAGGUAAUGGCUCACCAAGGCGACGAUCCGUAACUGGUCUGAGAGGAUGAUCAGUCACACUGGAACUGAGACACGGUCCAGACUCCUACGGGAGGCAGCAGUGGGGAAUAUUGGACAAUGGGCGAAAGCCUGAUCCAGCCAUGCCGCGUGUGUGAAGAAGGUCUUCGGAUUGUAAAGCACUUUAAGUUGGGAGGAAGGGCAGUAAAUUAAUACUUUGCUGUUUUGACGUUACCGACAGAAUAAGCACCGGCUAACUCUGU
RNAcentral lists this ribosomal RNA (502 nucleotides) under uncultured bacterium. RNAcentral describes it as "bacterial SSU rRNA". It matches the Rfam family "Bacterial small subunit ribosomal RNA", at positions 9 to 506 of the family's 1533-position model. The record is from RNAcentral.